AUGUUUUUUAAGCGGAGAUGGAUGAGAGAGAGAAAUCCACAUGAUAGCAAAGCUUCAGUUGAUCCAGUUUCUACAGAAAUGCUUCUUUCUCUGCCGUUUCUGUCCCUCAUGGCAUCAAAUUUUAUUACAGAAACAAAAAACACUGUGGGAAAUUCAGAGGAAAUGAAACAUCGCGUGGUCUUUGCAGCAAGUAAGCCACCUGUAGGAAGCCUCCUUCCCAGGAAUCUCUGCCGAAAGAUACCUCUAGAUGAACAGAAGAUUGAAUCACAGUAUCGUAGAAUAUCCUGA
This 288-nucleotide long non-coding RNA is filed under the name Anser brachyrhynchus (Pink-footed goose). RNAcentral describes it as "lncRNA (ENSABRG00000000180.1)". Lineage: Eukaryota; Metazoa; Chordata; Aves; Anseriformes; Anatidae. The record is from RNAcentral.